GACGAACGCUGGCGGCGUGCCUAACACAUGCAAGUCGAGCGGGGAUUUAAGUGGAAGUUCUUCGGAAUGGAGAUUUAAAUUCUAGCGGCGGACGGGUGAGUAACGCGUGAACAAUCUGUCCCGGACAGGGGGAUAACACCUGGAAACAGGUGCUAAUACCGCAUAAGACCACGGCCUCGCAUGGGGCUGAGGUAAAAGGAGCAAUCCGGUUCGGGGUGAGUUCGCGUCCGAUUAGCUAGUUGGUGAGGUAACGGCCCACCAAGGCGACGAUCGGUAGCCGGCCUGAGAGGGUGAACGGCCACAUUGGAACUGAGAGACGGUCCAAACUCCUACGGGAGGCGGCAGUGGGGAAUAUUGGGCAAUGGGCGAAAGCCUGACCCAGCAACGCCGCGUGAGGGAAGAAGGUUUUCGGAUUGUAAACCUCUGUCCUAUGGGACGAAGGAAGUGACGGUACCAUAGGAGGAAGCCCCGGCUAACUACGUG
Molecule: ribosomal RNA, 483 nt
Filed under: uncultured bacterium
Lineage: Bacteria
Description: partial 16S ribosomal RNA
Rfam family: Bacterial small subunit ribosomal RNA
Source: RNAcentral